Molecule: ribosomal RNA, 513 nt
Filed under: uncultured bacterium
Lineage: Bacteria
Description: partial 16S ribosomal RNA
Rfam family: Bacterial small subunit ribosomal RNA
Source: RNAcentral
AUUGAACGCUGGCGGCAUGCCUAACACAUGCAAGUCGAACGGCAGCACAGUAAAGACUUCGGUCUUUAUGGGUGGCGAGUGGCGGACGGGUGAGUAACGCGUAGGAAUCUGUCCUGGAGGGUGGGAUGACCCGAGGAAACUCGGGCUAAUACCGCAUGAUACCGAGAGAUCAAAAGCAGGGGACCCUUCGGGGCCUUGCGCUCUAGGAUGAGCCUACGUCGGAUUAGCUAGUUGGUGGGGUAAAGGCCUACCUAGGCGACGAUCCGUAGCUGGUCUGAGAGGAUGACCAGCCACACUGGGACUGAGACACGGCCCAGACUCCUACGGGAGGCAGCAGUGGGGAAUCUUGGACAAUGGGGGAAACCCUGAUCCAGCGAUGCCGCGUGUGUGAAGAAGGCCUUCGGGUUGUAAAGCACUUUAGUUGGGGAAGAAAAGUAAUAAGUAAAUAAUUUAUCGCUCUGACGGUACCCAAAGAAUAAGCACCGGCUAACUCUGUGCCAGCCGCCGCGGUAA